RNAcentral lists this ribosomal RNA (380 nucleotides) under uncultured organism. RNAcentral describes it as "bacterial SSU rRNA". It matches the Rfam family "Bacterial small subunit ribosomal RNA", at positions 45 to 400 of the family's 1533-position model. The record is from RNAcentral.
UGGAUAAGGCAUGCAAGUCGUGCGGUGUUAUUUUGCUCCGCAAGGAAUGAGAUAACAUAGCGGCGAACGGGUUAGUAACACGUGGGAAUUUGCCCUAAAGACGGGGAUAACCAGCCGAAAGGUUGGCUAAUACCCGAUGGUCUAGCAAUAGUAAAGGCGCAAGCCGCUUUAGGAGAAGCCCGCGGGCUAUCAGCUUGUUGGUGGGGUAAUGGCCUACCAAGGCUAUGACGGCUAGGGGGUGCGAGAGCGCGGCCCCCAACAUUGGGACUGAGACACGGCCCAGACUCCUACGGGAGGCAGCAGCCGAGAAUAUUUGCCAAUGGGCGAAAGCCUGAUCGACCGACGCCGCGCNNNGGGCUUUUCUGCGGAUCGUACGCCAC